RNAcentral lists this small RNA (681 nucleotides) under Pongo abelii (Sumatran orangutan). RNAcentral's name for it is "processed transcript". Lineage: Eukaryota; Metazoa; Chordata; Mammalia; Primates; Hominidae. The record is from RNAcentral.
CAUCUUGUGUUGUUGAGGCUGAGGACUGACUUGGGUUCUGAGACUCCCUGUCCCGGACCGCAGUGUUAAAAGGAUCUGAACAAAGUCUGCUCAAAUCUCCUGCUGUGAACCAGCAGAAUUUUUGAACAGGUUUCUUCACAUAUAAAAAUCUAUUGUAAAAAUACGGAAAAGAAUGGCAGCGGAAACGCAGACACUGAACUUUGGGCCUGAAUGAUAUGUUUGGACCCCGAAUAUGGAAUUCUCAUGGAAUUUUGAGAUCCAUCACAUUGUAGUGUGGCUUCCCCCCCCCCCUUCCUUUUUCCCCAAAGUUGGUGAUUGAAGAACCUCUCUUCAGUGGCAUCAAUAAUAAUAAUUACUUUUUCUAUUCAAACCUCGGGCAACCCCUUUGGUAAUAUCAGAAGCAGUAUCUAAAAUAGAUAAAUUGGAUUUGUGUCUUAAACUCUUGGUUGUUCAGGUGGGAGUGGUUCAAUAAAUGAUGCAGACUUCCCGUAGUAACUCUAUUUGAGGAGUCUUAUUAACUUACCCUAUUAGAAAUAUUUCUUUUUAUUAAUAUAUGUAAUCUGGAAGUUUUCUUAACCUUUAUAGCCAGCAUUUGGAGACUGAGGAGAAAUCACUAUUUGAAGUUCUAAGAACUGAUGGAACUCCUGUAUUUUGAGAGUUUAUUUAGAACAUGUUAACCUA